This 406-nucleotide ribosomal RNA is filed under the name uncultured bacterium. RNAcentral describes it as "partial 16S ribosomal RNA". It matches the Rfam family "Bacterial small subunit ribosomal RNA", at positions 29 to 526 of the family's 1533-position model. The record is from RNAcentral.
AUUGAACGCUGGCGGCAGGCCUAACACAUGCAAGUCGAACGAGUGGCGGACGGGUGAGUAAUGUCUGGGAAACUGCCUGAUGGAGGGGGAUAACUACUGGAAACGGUAGCUAAUACCGCAUACCAUCGGAUGUGCCCAGAUGGGAUUGGCUAGUAGGUGGGGUAAAGGCUCACCUAGGCGACGAUCCCUAGCUGGUCUGAGAGGAUGACCGGACACACGGGAACUGAGACACGGUCCAGACUCCUACGGGAGGCAGCAGGGGGGAAUAUUGCACAAGGGGGGCAAGCCGGAUGCAGCAAUGCCGCGUGUGGGAAGAAGGCCUUCGGGUUGUAAAGUACGUUCAGCGGGGAGGCGUUACCCACAGAGGAAGCACCGGCUAACUCCGUGCCAGCAGCCGCGGUAAUAC